RNAcentral lists this ribosomal RNA (429 nucleotides) under Actinomycetes bacterium. RNAcentral's name for it is "Actinobacteria bacterium partial 16S ribosomal RNA". It matches the Rfam family "Bacterial small subunit ribosomal RNA", at positions 355 to 776 of the family's 1533-position model. Lineage: Bacteria; Bacillati; Actinomycetota; Actinomycetes. The record is from RNAcentral.
UAGGGAAUCUUCCGCAAUGGGCGAAAGCCUGACGGAGCAACGCCGCGUGAGUGAUGAAGGUCUUCGGAUCGUAAAACUCUGUUAUUAGGGAAGAACAAAUGUGUAAGUAACUAUGCACGUCUUGACGGUACCUAAUCAGAAAGCCACGGCUAACUACGUGCCAGCAGCCGCGGUAAUACGUAGGUGGCAAGCGUUAUCCGGAAUUAUUGGGCGUAAAGCGCGCGUAGGCGGUUUUUUAAGUCUGAUGUGAAAGCCCACGGCUCAACCGUGGAGGGUCAUUGGAAACUGGAAAACUUGAGUGCAGAAGAAGAAAGUGGAAGUCCAUGUGUAGCAGUGAAAUGCGCAGAGAUAUGGAGGAACACCAGUGGCGAAGGCGGCUUUCUGGUCUGUAACUGACGCUGAUGUGCGAAAGCGUGGGGAUCAAACAGG